AGGUGUCAUCAUACCAGCGCUAAUGCACCGGAUCCCAUAAGAACUCCGGAGUUAAGCGUGCUUGGGCGAGAGUAGUACUAGGAUGGGUGACCUCCUGGGAAGUCCUUGUUUUGCACCUC
Molecule: non-coding RNA, 119 nt
Organism: Vigna angularis (adzuki bean)
Lineage: Eukaryota; Viridiplantae; Streptophyta; Magnoliopsida; Fabales; Fabaceae
Source: Rfam